Pelobates cultripes (western spadefoot toad) is the source of this 395-nucleotide non-coding RNA. NCBI's taxonomy places the organism in Eukaryota, Metazoa, Chordata, Amphibia, Anura, Pelobatidae. The record is from the annotation of a GenBank genome assembly.
GUUAUGUUCAGGUCCCUGAGUGUUAAGCGGGCUCUUCUCAAGCCAGAUGUAUGCGCUAACUGUUUUAAACAGCGCUUAAUGUAUGUUCACUGUGGGUGCGAGCGGCAUGUGGCUGCUUGUGUCUCAGUGAGGCGGUAUGCGGCAGUAUGGCAUAUGUUAUGGCCUAGGGUGUUAUUUUAAUAAGCCUCUUAUCGAAUAUCCUACGGCGGAGCAGGUGUGUGCUACUGCAGUGUUGCCUGCGCAGAGGUUCAUUGUGCUAAAAAGUAAUUAAGCAAUAAGCUGGGGCCUACGCAGAGGUCCAGUAUGAUUUUACAGGCUGUCAGUCGUCGACCCUACCUAAGCAUUUAAGUUCAGUGCUGUGUUCAUGCGCUGCUGGUCACUUUGUGAGCCAAUUU